ACGGUUAUAAAUCAACAUAUUGAUUUAUAAGCAUGGAAAUCCCCUGAGUGAAACAACGAAUUGCUGUGUGUAGUCUUUGCCCAUCUCCCACGAUGGGCUUUUUAACAU
This 108-nucleotide non-coding RNA is filed under the name Escherichia coli. Its description in RNAcentral is "antisense sRNA RprA". It matches the Rfam family "RprA RNA". Rfam says of the family: Translational regulation of the stationary phase sigma factor RpoS is mediated by the formation of a double-stranded RNA stem-loop structure in the upstream region of the rpoS messenger RNA, occluding the translation initiation site. Clones carrying rprA (RpoS regulator RNA A) increased the translation of RpoS. Lineage: Bacteria; Pseudomonadati; Pseudomonadota; Gammaproteobacteria; Enterobacterales; Enterobacteriaceae. The record is from RNAcentral.